CCCGAAGCCGAUGGCCCAACCCGCAAGGGAGGGAGUCGUCGAAGGUGGGACUGGCGAUUGGGACGAAGUCGUAACAAGGUAGCCGUACCGGAAGGUGCGGCUGGAUCACCUCCUUU
This 116-nucleotide ribosomal RNA is filed under the name Streptomyces sp. H39-C1. Its description in RNAcentral is "partial 16S ribosomal RNA". It matches the Rfam family "Bacterial small subunit ribosomal RNA", at positions 1420 to 1533 of the family's 1533-position model. The record is from RNAcentral. Lineage: Bacteria; Bacillati; Actinomycetota; Actinomycetes; Kitasatosporales; Streptomycetaceae.